This 492-nucleotide ribosomal RNA is filed under the name uncultured bacterium. RNAcentral's name for it is "partial 16S ribosomal RNA". It matches the Rfam family "Bacterial small subunit ribosomal RNA", at positions 29 to 507 of the family's 1533-position model. The record is from RNAcentral.
AGUGAACGCUGGCGGUAGGCCUAACACAUGCAAGUCGAACGGCAGCACAGUAAGAGCUUGCUCUUACGGGUGGCGAGUGGCGGACGGGUGAGGAAUACAUCGGAAUCUACUUUUUCGUGGGGGAUAACGUAGGGAAACUUACGCUAAUACCGCAUACGACCUACGGGUGAAAGCAGGGGAUCUUCGGACCUUGCGCGAUUGAAUGAGCCGAUGUCGGAUUAGCUAGUUGGCGGGGUAAAGGCCCACCAAGGCGACGAUCCGUAGCUGGUCUGAGAGGAUGAUCAGCCACACUGGAACUGAGACACGGUCCAGACUCCUACGGGAGGCAGCAGUGGGGAAUAUUUGACAAUGGGCGGAAGCCUGAUCCAGCCAUACCGCGUUGGUGAAGAAGGCCUUCGGGUUGUAAAGCCCUUUUGUUGGGAAAGAAAAGCAGCAGGUUAAUACCCCGCUGUUCUGACGGUACCCAAAGAAUAAGCACCGGCUAACUUCGUG